This is a long non-coding RNA of Aedes aegypti (yellow fever mosquito), 1160 nucleotides long. RefSeq lists it as uncharacterized. The record is from RefSeq and is a predicted model, not a curated record. Lineage: Eukaryota; Metazoa; Arthropoda; Insecta; Diptera; Culicidae. The transcript is spliced from 2 exons.
CGGACACAUUUUGACGCCGCACUGGUUGAAAUCCUCCUUGCCCGACAGGCAUUGCAAUCUCAUCUGAUGAACGAGAUCAUCUUCAGAUAACGGAAAGAUAUUAUCUGUAAUCCAAGAGCGCUCUGAAAUGAUAUCAUCUCUCAAUCUUGAGCAUUAGAAGAUAACAGCUGUCAUGAUUCUUUGAGUUAACAACGCGUGAUUGGAAGGCAAUUUUGGGAAACAGUUUGUUUUUCCAAAUAACAGUGAUCUUCGAAUAUACCGUUGUAUUUGACAACCAACAAUGGCGAGAAAUCAUUCAGGAAUAUUGGAAAACCGUGGUCAGUUAAGCGAUGAAAACUACAAUUUCUGAACGACACAAGCAAUGUUUGGCUUGUAUUAUUUUUAUAAUAAAAUAACAGUAUUCCCAAUAACAAAACCCUUUUGUUUUUGCUAUAGAGCGACCGGGAAGUUCCUCUUGAAUUUGCCCACUUACAUAGUGAAUAUAUUUAGUUGAGCUUUCAGCUGUCUAGUUAUCAGGGAAAUCCAGACUGUAUGACCAUUUGUUACAUGAGCAGUUUGUUUAUCUUCCCACACUUACAUACGCGGUUUUCCUGUGGGACGGUCUUGAAAGAUUCCACGUAGUGCGGUGAACCGCGUUUAUGAAGCUUCGUAACUUAUGUCAUUUAAGCUUAACGUCUAUUCAACAUAAUUUUCGUUCCGGUAAAAUUUGAAGUGAACGCAUUGUAAUUGUUGCCGCUAAGAAUCAUAUUCGAAUCAAUUGACUAGAUUCUUAUAUGCCACGGGUUAUACGUGAACUAAUCAGAGUUCGACACAGGGAUAGCAGUAGGUACAUAAUUAUUGGAUAACGCUCAAAUGGUAAAGUAUAAAUAUGUAAAUGAAUCGAUAUCAAGAAACAUGCUCCUUCUGAUUAGCAACUAAAGUUAUUUUUAUUUAUUGCAACAACUGUAUCAAUUCAUUCUUAUAUUCCCCUUGCCAAAUGUGUUUGUUCCCAUGGUGUUUACCCCAAGUAAAUCAAACGCGUCGAUUGCUGAGCUCAAGAUGACUCAUCUUAGCAUAAGAUACUGACAAAAAAAUUGAUCACAGAGCUCUCAGAUGAUAUCUCACAAUUCGAUCCAUGUCAUGCUCAGAUGAUCGAAAGAUGGGAUGAAAUGCAAUGCCUG